UACGUAGGGUGCGAGCGUUGUCCGGAAUUAUUGGGCGUAAAGGGCUCGUAGGCGGUCUGUUGCGUCGGGAGUGAAAACUCAGGGCUUAACCCUGAGCCUGCUUCCGAUACGGGCAGACUAGAGGUAUGCAGGGGAGAACGGAAUUCCUGGUGUAGCGGUGAAAUGCGCAGAUAUCAGGAGGAACACCGGUGGCGAAGGCGGGUCUCUGGGCCGAAAUUGACGCUGAGGAGCGAAAGCGUGGGGAGCAAACAGG
This 253-nucleotide ribosomal RNA is filed under the name uncultured bacterium. Its description in RNAcentral is "partial 16S ribosomal RNA". It matches the Rfam family "Bacterial small subunit ribosomal RNA", at positions 524 to 776 of the family's 1533-position model. The record is from RNAcentral.